RNAcentral lists this ribosomal RNA (254 nucleotides) under uncultured bacterium. Its description in RNAcentral is "partial 16S ribosomal RNA". It matches the Rfam family "Bacterial small subunit ribosomal RNA", at positions 524 to 776 of the family's 1533-position model. The record is from RNAcentral.
UACGUAGGGUGCGAGCGUUGUCCGGAAUUAUUGGGCGUAAAGAGCUCGUAGGCGGUGUGUCGCGUCGGCCGUGAAAACCUGCAGCUUAACUGUGGGCGUGCGGUCGAUACGGGCAUCACUGGAGUUCGGCAGGGGAGACUGGAAUUCCAGGUGUAGCGGUGAAAUGCGUAGAUAUCUGGAGGAACACCGGUGGCGAAGGCGGCAUCCUGGACCGACACUGACGCUGAGGAGCGAAAGCCAGGGGAGCAAACGGG